GAAUUCACUAGUGAUUCAGGCCUAACACAUGCAAGUCGAACGGUAACGGGUCCUUCGGGAUGCCGACGAGUGGCGAACGGGUGAGUAAUGCAUCGGAACGUGCCCAGUAAUGGGGGAUAGCUCGGCGAAAGCCGGAUUAAUACCGCAUACGCCCUGAGGGGGAAAGUGGGGGAUCGCAAGACCUCACGUUAUUGGAGCGGCCGAUGUCGGAUUAGCUAGUUGGUGAGGUAAAGGCUCACCAAGGCGACGAUCCGUAGCUGGUCUGAGAGGACGACCAGCCACACUGGGACUGAGACACGGCCCAGACUCCUACGGGAGGCAGCAGUGGGGAAUUUUGGACAAUGGGGGAAACCCUGAUCCAGCCAUGCCGCGUGAGUGAAGAAGGCCUUCGGGUUGUAAAGCUAUUUCGGACGGAAAGAAAUCGCGCUCUCUAACAUAGGGCGUGGAUGACGGUAC
RNAcentral lists this ribosomal RNA (456 nucleotides) under uncultured bacterium. Its description in RNAcentral is "bacterial SSU rRNA". It matches the Rfam family "Bacterial small subunit ribosomal RNA", at positions 34 to 478 of the family's 1533-position model. The record is from RNAcentral.